This 1025-nucleotide ribosomal RNA is filed under the name Salmonella enterica. Its description in RNAcentral is "bacterial SSU rRNA". It matches the Rfam family "Bacterial small subunit ribosomal RNA", at positions 108 to 1134 of the family's 1533-position model. RNAcentral also lists the same sequence under 2 other names. Lineage: Bacteria; Pseudomonadati; Pseudomonadota; Gammaproteobacteria; Enterobacterales; Enterobacteriaceae. The record is from RNAcentral.
GAGUAAUGUCUGGGAAACUGCCUGAUGGAGGGGGAUAACUACUGGAAACGGUGGCUAAUACCGCAUAACGUCGCAAGACCAAAGAGGGGGACCUUCGGGCCUCUUGCCAUCAGAUGUGCCCAGAUGGGAUUAGCUUGUUGGUGAGGUAACGGCUCACCAAGGCGACGAUCCCUAGCUGGUCUGAGAGGAUGACCAGCCACACUGGAACUGAGACACGGUCCAGACUCCUACGGGAGGCAGCAGUGGGGAAUAUUGCACAAUGGGCGCAAGCCUGAUGCAGCCAUGCCGCGUGUAUGAAGAAGGCCUUCGGGUUGUAAAGUACUUUCAGCGGGGAGGAAGGUGUUGUGGUUAAUAACCGCAGCAAUUGACGUUACCCGCAGAAGAAGCACCGGCUAACUCCGUGCCAGCAGCCGCGGUAAUACGGAGGGUGCAAGCGUUAAUCGGAAUUACUGGGCGUAAAGCGCACGCAGGCGGUCUGUCAAGUCGGAUGUGAAAUCCCCGGGCUCAACCUGGGAACUGCAUUCGAAACUGGCAGGCUUGAGUCUUGUAGAGGGGGGUAGAAUUCCAGGUGUAGCGGUGAAAUGCGUAGAGAUCUGGAGGAAUACCGGUGGCGAAGGCGGCCCCCUGGACAAAGACUGACGCUCAGGUGCGAAAGCGUGGGGAGCAAACAGGAUUAGAUACCCUGGUAGUCCACGCCGUAAACGAUGUCUACUUGGAGGUUGUGCCCUUGAGGCGUGGCUUCCGGAGCUAACGCGUUAAGUAGACCGCCUGGGGAGUACGGCCGCAAGGUUAAAACUCAAAUGAAUUGACGGGGGCCCGCACAAGCGGUGGAGCAUGUGGUUUAAUUCGAUGCAACGCGAAGAACCUUACCUGGUCUUGACAUCCACGGAAGAAUUCAGAGAUGGAUUUGUGCCUUCGGGAACCGUGAGACAGGUGCUGCAUGGCUGUCGUCAGCUCGUGUUGUGAAAUGUUGGGUUAAGUCCCGCAACGAGCGCAACCCUUAUCCUUUGUUGCCAGCGAUUCGG